CACCUUUUUAUUAAGCAAAAGCGUGCUAUAUAUAAAGCGUCGGCUUGCCGACUAUGGCGAUAAACGCUUUGUGGAAUAGACGCUACGGACCCGGGGGCGGUACCCGGCGCCUCCACCACAAUGACCGGUACUGCGGGUCAUUCUUUGGGGGCGAAACAGGAUCGACGUGCGUAGUAAAGACAGAGUUUUUGCCGGGCAUGAUACCGCCCUUAUCGGGUCACUUUUAUAAAUGCCAACGACAAUGUUGACAUGAGCAAUGUUGCUAUCGCUGCUUAAUAUCCGCUUGCGGAAGUAGAGUAGUUAGCACUUGAUCGCGGUCCGGGGGGUACCGGGCAACAGAAACCCCCCAAU
RNAcentral lists this transfer-messenger RNA (351 nucleotides) under Alphaproteobacteria bacterium. It matches the Rfam family "Alphaproteobacteria transfer-messenger RNA". Rfam says of the family: Bacterial tmRNA, also known as 10Sa RNA or SsrA, is named for its dual tRNA and mRNA-like properties. The record is from RNAcentral. Lineage: Bacteria; Pseudomonadati; Pseudomonadota; Alphaproteobacteria.